GACGAACGCUGGCGGCGUGCCUAAUACAUGCAAGUAGAACGCUGAAGGAGGAGCUUGCUUCUCUGGAUGAGUUGCGAACGGGUGAGUAACGCGUAGGUAACCUGCCUGGUAGCGGGGGAUAACUAUUGGAAACGAUAGCUAAUACCGCAUAAGAGUAGAUGUUGCAUGACAUUUGCUUAAAAGGUGCAAUUGCAUCACUACCAGAUGGACCUGCGUUGUAUUAGCUAGUUGGUGGGGUAACGGCUCACCAAGGCGACGAUACAUAGCCGACCUGAGAGGGUGAUCGGCCACACUGGGACUGAGACACGGCCCAGACUCCUACGGGAGGCAGCAGUAGGGAAUCUUCGGCAAUGGACGGAAGUCUGACCGAGCAACGCCGCGUGAGUGAAGAAGGUUUUCGGAUCGUAAAGCUCUGUUGUAAGAGAAGAACGAGUGUGAGAGUGGAAAGUUCACACUGUGACGGUAUCUUACCAGAAAGGGACGGCUAACUACG
Molecule: ribosomal RNA, 493 nt
Filed under: uncultured bacterium
Lineage: Bacteria
Description: partial 16S ribosomal RNA
Rfam family: Bacterial small subunit ribosomal RNA
Source: RNAcentral